RNAcentral lists this ribosomal RNA (776 nucleotides) under uncultured Neocallimastigales. Its description in RNAcentral is "partial large subunit ribosomal RNA". It matches the Rfam family "Eukaryotic large subunit ribosomal RNA", at positions 24 to 629 of the family's 3401-position model. Lineage: Eukaryota; Fungi; Neocallimastigomycota; Neocallimastigomycetes; Neocallimastigales. The record is from RNAcentral.
UAUCUCUGUAGAGUCUGCAUAUCAAUAAGCGGAGGAAAAGAAACUAACUAGGAUUCCCUCAGUAACGGCGAGUGAAGCGGGAAGAGCUCAAAUUUGAAAUCUUCAAGGUUUUACCUUGACGAAUUGUAGUUUAAAGAAGUGAUUUCUGUUGGGGUUUUGGUAAAAGUUCUUUGGAAUAGGACAUCAUAGAGGGUGAGAAUCCCGUAUUUGACCAUUACUUCCAGCUUUGUGAUACACUUUCAAAGAGUCGGAUUGUUUGGGAAUGCAGUCCAAAAUGGGUGGUAAAUUUCAUCUAAAGCUAAAUACUGGCGGAGAGACCGAUAGCGAACAAGUACCGUGAGGGAAAGAUGAAAAGAACUUUGAAAAGAGAGUUAAACAGUACGUGAAAUUGUCAAAAGGGAAGCGUUUGACACCAGUGUUGUUUUCUCGAAAAUCAAUUAAAAAAGGCAGGAUUUUGUGUUGUAUUGACUUUAUCAGCUUUCUGCACUCUUUUCUUGUCUUUUUUUAAUGCACUUUUCGUUUAACAAGUCAACAUCAAUUUCUUUUGUUGUAAGAGGGUCAUUGGAAGGUGGCUUUCUUUUCGGAGAAAGUGUUUAUAGCCUUUGGCCUCUGCAAUCGGAGAGAUUGAGGUCUGCAGCGUAGAUCCUUCGGGGUUAGAUACAUUUGUGCUAAGUUAUAGCCUUUCAUAGACAACUUGUUGACUAUGAUCAGUCAUGUAGCUUACUCGCUUAUGCUAUUUUACCUACGCUUAGGAUGUUGAUAGUCACAGCGUGUAC